This 460-nucleotide ribosomal RNA is filed under the name uncultured bacterium. RNAcentral describes it as "partial 16S ribosomal RNA". It matches the Rfam family "Bacterial small subunit ribosomal RNA", at positions 338 to 795 of the family's 1533-position model. The record is from RNAcentral.
CCUACGGGAGGCAGCAGUGAGGAAUAUUGGUCAAUGGACGCAAGUCUGAACCAGCCAUGCCGCGUGCAGGAAGACGGCUCUAUGAGUUGUAAACUGCUUUUGUACGAGGGUAAAUCCCGAUACGUGUAUCGGGUUGAAAGUAUCGUACGAAUAAGGAUCGGCUAACUCCGUGCCAGCAGCCGCGGUAAUACGGAGGAUUCAAGCGUUAUCCGGAUUUAUUGGGUUUAAAGGGUGCGUAGGCGGUUCGAUAAGUUAGAGGUGAAAGCCCGGGGCUCAACUCCGGCAUUGCCUCUGAUACUGUCGGGCUAGAGUUUAGUUGCGGUAGGCGGAAUGUAUGGUGUAGCGGUGAAAUGCAUAGAGAUCAUACAGAACACCGAUUGCGAAGGCAGCUUACCAAACUACGACUGACGUUGAGGCACGAAAGCGUGGGGAGCAAACAGGAUUAGAUACCCUUGUAGUC